GUAGGGGGGGCGAGCGUUGUCCGGAAUUAUUGGGCGUAGAGAGCUCGUAGGGCGGCUUGGGUAACGUCGACCGUGAAAACCAGAGGGCUCAACCUCUGGAUGUCGGUCGAAACUGCCAUGGCUAGAGUCCGGUAGAGGAGAGUGGAAUUCCCGGUGUAGCGGUGGAAUGCGCAGAUAUCGGGAGGAACACCAGUAGCGAAGGCGGCUCUCUGGGCCGGAACUGACGCUGAGGAGCGAAAGCGUGGGUAGCAAACAGGAUUAGAUACCCUGGUGGUCCACGCCGUAAACGUUGGGUACUAGGUGUGGCGUUCUUUUCAACGAAUGCCGUGCCGAAGCUAACGCAUUAAGUACCCCGCCUGGGGAGUACGGCCGCAAGGCUA
This 380-nucleotide ribosomal RNA is filed under the name uncultured organism. Its description in RNAcentral is "partial 16S ribosomal RNA". It matches the Rfam family "Bacterial small subunit ribosomal RNA", at positions 525 to 896 of the family's 1533-position model. The record is from RNAcentral.